This 619-nucleotide ribosomal RNA is filed under the name uncultured bacterium. RNAcentral's name for it is "bacterial SSU rRNA". It matches the Rfam family "Bacterial small subunit ribosomal RNA", at positions 9 to 610 of the family's 1533-position model. The record is from RNAcentral.
GAGUUUGAUCCUGGCUCAGGAUGAACGCUAGCGACAGGCUUAACACAUGCAAGUCGAGGGGCAGCGGGGGAGGAAGCUUGCUUUCUCCUGCCGGCGACCGGCGCACGGGUGAGUAACACGUAUGCAACCUGGCCGUCACAGGUGGAUAACCGGAAGAAAUUCCGACUAAUACAGCAUAACACUCCUGAGGGACAUCCUUCGGGGGUCAAAGGAGGCGACUCCGGUGACGGAUGGGCAUGCGGCGCAUUAGGUAGUUGGUAGGGUAACGGCCUACCAAGCCGACGAUGCGUAGGGGUUCUGAGAGGAAGGUCCCCCACAUUGGAACUGAGACACGGUCCAAACUCCUACGGGAGGCAGCAGUGAGGAAUAUUGGUCAAUGGCCGGAAGGCUGAACCAGCCAAGUCGCGUGAGGGAAUAAGGCCCUAUGGGUCGUAAACCUCUUUUGUCAGGGAGCAAAGGCGUCCACGAGUGGACGAAAGGAGAGUACCUGAAGAAAAAGCAUCGGCUAACUCCGUGCCAGCAGCCGCGGUAAUACGGAGGAUGCGAGCGUUAUCCGGAUUUAUUGGGUUUAAAGGGUGCGUAGGCGGAGUGUCAAGUCAGCGGUAAAAUUUCGGGGCUC